Molecule: ribosomal RNA, 253 nt
Filed under: uncultured bacterium
Lineage: Bacteria
Description: partial 16S ribosomal RNA
Rfam family: Bacterial small subunit ribosomal RNA
Source: RNAcentral
UACGUAGGGUGCAAGCGUUAAUCGGAAUUACUGGGCGUAAAGGGCGCGUAGGCGGCACUGUUAGUCAGGCGUGAAAGUCCUGGGCUCAACCUGGGAACUGCGCUUGAUACGGCAGAGCUAGAGGAUGGAAGAGGGUCGCGGAAUUCCCAGUGUAGAGGUGAAAUUCGUAGAUAUUGGGAAGAACACCGGUGGCGAAGGCGGCGACCUGGUCCAUUACUGACGCUGAGGCGCGACAGCGUGGGGAGCAAACAGG